UCAGGAAGAAGAAGCCGGUGAGAUUCCGGCGCGGUCGCGCCACUGUUAUCGACGUACAAGGUCGAGAGCCAGACCUUCUUCCUGA
RNAcentral lists this non-coding RNA (85 nucleotides) under Sphingobium cupriresistens. Lineage: Bacteria; Pseudomonadati; Pseudomonadota; Alphaproteobacteria; Sphingomonadales; Sphingobiaceae. The record is from RNAcentral. RNAcentral also lists the same sequence under 1 other name.